GAUGAAGAACGCAGCGAAAUGCGAUAAGUAAUGCGAAUUGCAGAAUUUCCGUGAGUCAUCGAAUCUUUGAACGCACAUUGCGCCCCAUGGUAUUCCGUGGGGCAUGCCUGUUCGAGCGUCAUUUACCCCCUCAAGCUCCGCUUGGUGUUGGGCGUCUGUCCCGCUUCGCGCGCGGACUCGCCCCAAAGGUAUUGGCAGCGGUCGUGCCAGCUUCUCGCGCAGCACAUUGCGCUUCUCGAGGCACCGGUGGGCCCGCGUCCUUCAAGCUCACCCCCCCAGUUUGACCUCGGAUCAGGUAGGGAUACCCGCUGAACUUAAGCAUAUCAAUAAGCGGAGGA
This 338-nucleotide unclassified non-coding RNA is filed under the name soil metagenome. RNAcentral's name for it is "partial contains 5.8S ribosomal RNA, internal transcribed spacer 2, and large subunit ribosomal RNA". The stretch from base 1 to 121 matches the Rfam family "5.8S ribosomal RNA", at positions 35 to 154 of the family's 154-position model. The record is from RNAcentral.